UUAUUAUUUUUUUUGCAGAUGGGUCUCUUCUUCUUCUUCUGAUUUUCUUCUUCUUCUUCUUCUUAUUCACCAUUGCAAUGAACCCUUCUUCACCACUGCAAUGAACCCCGGCAUUAACAGCAACUACCAGGGUCUGGAUUUGUCUUCCUCUUAUUAUUUAUUUUGCAGAUGGGGUCUCUUCCUCUUCUGAUUUUCUUCUUCUUCUUUCUAUUCACCGUUGCAAUGAACCCUUCUUCACCACUGCAAUGAACCCCGGCACUAACAGCAACUACCAGGGUCUGGAUCGAGACUACCCAUGAACGCAUGCAAGUGUCAUAUCCUGGAUUGACAUUAUUCCGCAUCCCUACUCACCCCGCCACUAAAAUUUGUGAUGUUCUUCUUGUCUGUAUGGUCAUCGACGUCGUGUGGUGUUUUCCGAGGAGGAGGUAUUUUUCAUCGAAGGUGCCUCACAUACAUACAUACACAGAGACCCAAAAAAGAAGAAACAUGGAAAAAAAAGGGAAAAAAGUGUUUGCUGAAGAGAAUGGCCUCAAAGGAGACCCACGACUUCCAACCAUUUGUCAAGCAUCAGAGUUGUUCCUUACUUCCCCAAAUAAGAUUUAUAGCUGUGGCUGUUUGGGUUCAUAAGAUGCUUAGAAAUCUGAAAUUGAUGGUGUGCCGCACAAAAGAUCAAUGAAAAGAUAUGCAGGAGACCAACUAUAAGCUAAUAGAAUAAAUCUAGCCAUAGAAUAAAAAAGGUCAGUAAAUAAUCUUGCAUUUUUUUUAACGUUGUUGAAACUUAUGGUUGAGCAGGACAUAAUUGAACUUUGUUAAUUGGAGGGAGUGAGUGAAGGAUUGUUGAUGGUGUUUUUUUAAUAGCUAAUUGGUGUUAAAAAUACAUUCAUGAAAAUACUCAUAUCUCUUUAAAAAGAGUUACUUAAUGAUAAUAAUUGAACUUAUUUAAUAGGGUAAAUAUGUAUGAUGUCAAUUUUUACUCAAUUUAAUGUCAAGUAUGGCAUAUAUUGUCCUAUUUUAUGCAUCGAAUAGCUUGUAUUCACUCAUAGAUAUUGUUUGUAUGCUUGCGGAGAAAAUGAUUGUGAAACUAAUAGGAAAAAUCAAGCAAAUAAAAUUCUAGGAAGACUAUUUAUAGCUCAAAAUAUGUUCAUCCCACAUAGAAAAUAAUGUUAGCACUAUGGUUAGGACAACAAUAAAGAAAAAGUGAUUUUACUAGAAUUGGUUUUACUAGAAUUGAGUGAGAAAAUUUGUAUUAAAAA
Arachis ipaensis is the source of this 1253-nucleotide non-coding RNA. NCBI's taxonomy places the organism in Eukaryota, Viridiplantae, Streptophyta, Magnoliopsida, Fabales, Fabaceae. The record is from RefSeq and is a predicted model, not a curated record.